Molecule: ribosomal RNA, 489 nt
Filed under: uncultured bacterium
Lineage: Bacteria
Description: partial 16S ribosomal RNA
Rfam family: Bacterial small subunit ribosomal RNA
Source: RNAcentral
GAUGAACGCUAGCUACAGGCUUAACACAUGCAAGUCGAGGGGCAGCAUGAUUGAAGCUUGCUUCAAUCGAUGGCGACCGGCGCACGGGUGAGUAACACGUAUCCAACCUGCCGAUAACUCGGGGAUAGCCUUUCGAAAGAAAGAUUAAUACCCGAUAGUAUAGUAUUUCCGCAUGGUUUCACUAUUAAAGAACUUCGGUUAUCGAUGGGGAUGCGUUCCAUUAGAUAGUUGGCGGGGUAACGGCCCACCAAGUCAACGAUGGAUAGGGGUUCUGAGAGGAAGGUCCCCCACGUUGGAACUGAGACACGGUCCAAACUCCUACGGGAGGCAGCAGUGAGGAAUAUUGGUCAAUGGACGAGAGUCUGAACCAGCCAAGUAGCGUGAAGGAUGACUGCCCUAUGGGUUGUAAACUUCUUUUAUACGGGAAUAAAGUGGAGUAUGCAUACUCCUUUGUAUGUACCGUAUGAAUAAGGAGCGGCUAACUCCGUG